AAACCAACAGGGAUUGCCUUAGUAACGGCGAGUGAAGCGGCAACAGCUCAAAUUUGAAAUCUGGCCCUCGGGUCCGAAUUGUAAUUUGUAGAGGAUGAUUUUGGUGCGGUAUCUUCCGAGUUCCUUGGAACAGGACGCCUUAGAGGGUGAGAGCCCCGUACGGUUGAAUGCCUAGCCUCUGUAAAUCUCCUUCGACGAGUCGAGUAGUUUGGGAAUGCUGCUCUAAAUGGGAGGUAAAUUUCUUCUAAAGCUAAAUAUUGGCCAGAGACCGAUAGCGCACAAGUAGAGUGAUCGAAAGAUGAAAAGCACUUUGAAAAGAGGGUUAAAUAGCACGUGAAAUUGUUGAAAGGGAAGGAUUUGUGACCAGACUUUUUCUGGGCGGAUCAUCCGGGGUUCUCUCCGGUGCACUUUGCCCAGUAAAGGCCAGCAUCGAUUUUUGGCGGCGGAUAAAAGCAGUGGGAAUGUGGCUCCCUACGGGGAGUGUUAUAGCCCAUUGUAUAAUACGCUGCUGGGGAUCGAGGUACGCGCUUCUGCAAGGAUGCUGGCGUAAUGGUUAUCAAUCACCCGUCUUGAAACACGGACCAAGGAGUCGAACAUUUAUGCGAGUGUUUGGGUGUUAAACCCUCACGCGUAAUGAAAGUGAACGGAGGUGAGAGCCCUUACGGGUGCAUCAUCGACCGAUCCUGAAGUUUUCGGAUGGAUUUGAGUAAGAGCAUAACUGUUCGGACCCGAAAGAUGGUGAACUAUGCGUGGAUAGGGUGAAGCCAGAGGAAACUCUGGUGGAGGCUCGCAGCGGUUCUGACGUGCAAAUCGAUCGUCAAAUCUGCGCAUGGGGGCGAAA
This 841-nucleotide ribosomal RNA is filed under the name Pestalotiopsis kunmingensis. RNAcentral describes it as "eukaryotic LSU rRNA". It matches the Rfam family "Eukaryotic large subunit ribosomal RNA", at positions 62 to 928 of the family's 3401-position model. The record is from RNAcentral. Lineage: Eukaryota; Fungi; Ascomycota; Sordariomycetes; Amphisphaeriales; Sporocadaceae.